RNAcentral lists this ribosomal RNA (771 nucleotides) under uncultured bacterium. Its description in RNAcentral is "bacterial SSU rRNA". It matches the Rfam family "Bacterial small subunit ribosomal RNA", at positions 94 to 859 of the family's 1533-position model. The record is from RNAcentral.
AGUGGCGAACGGGUGAGUAACAUAUCGGAACAUAUCCGGAAGUGGGGGAUAACGUAGCGAAAGUUACGCUAAUACCGCAUAUGCCCUGAGGGGGAAAGGGGGGGAUCGCAAGACCUCUCGCUUUCGGAGUGGCCGAUAUCGGAUUAGCUAGUAGGUGAGGUAAAGGCUCACCUAGGCGACGAUCCGUAGCUGGUCUGAGAGGACGACCAGCCACACUGGAACUGAGACACGGUCCAGACUCCUACGGGAGGCAGCAGUGGGGAAUUUUGGACAAUGGGCGCAAGCCUGAUCCAGCCAUACCGCGUGAGUGAAGAAGGCCUUCGGGUUGUAAAGCUCUUUCAGCCGGAAAGAAAAUGCUUCUAUUAAUACUAGGAGUAGAUGACGGUACCGGAAGAAGAAGCACCGGCUAACUACGUGCCAGCAGCCGCGGUAAUACGUAGGGUGCGAGCGUUAAUCGGAAUUACUGGGCGUAAAGCGUGCGCAGGCGGUUUUAUAAGCCAGAUGUGAAAUCCCCGGGCUUAACCUGGGAACUGCAUUUGGAACUGUAAGACUAGAGUGUAGCAGAGGGGGGUAGAAUUCCACGUGUAGCAGUGAAAUGCGUAGAUAUGUGGAGGAAUACCGAUGGCGAAAGCAGCCCCCUGGGCUAACACUGACGCUCAUGCACGAAAGCGUGGGGAGCAAACAGGAUUAGAUACCCUGGUAGUCCACGCUCCUAAACGAUGUCAACUAUGUGUUGGGGAAGGAGACUUCUUUAGUACUGCAGCUAACGCG